UUGUUCUUCAAAAUGCCACCACAAGGCAGUGUCUGGCCUGAAUAAGAGCUGCUUGAUUGUGAAGACGUGCCCUUACUCUAAGAUCGAUUAUGGGUCCUAAUAUAAGAAUUCAUGAACCUUAAGAAAUCUGACACACCAAUAAUUGGCAUUUCUGACGCGAAAUUUUCAAUUGGCAUGCAUCCGUUUCAGAUCCGUUCAUCAUCCG
RNAcentral lists this long non-coding RNA (205 nucleotides) under Mytilus galloprovincialis (Mediterranean mussel). Lineage: Eukaryota; Metazoa; Mollusca; Bivalvia; Mytilida; Mytilidae. The record is from RNAcentral.